RNAcentral lists this ribosomal RNA (253 nucleotides) under uncultured bacterium. RNAcentral's name for it is "partial 16S ribosomal RNA". It matches the Rfam family "Bacterial small subunit ribosomal RNA", at positions 524 to 776 of the family's 1533-position model. The record is from RNAcentral.
UACGUAAGGACCGAGCGUUGUCCGGAAUUACUGGGCGUAAAGAGCUCGUAGGUGGUUUGUCGCGUCGUCUGUGAAAUUCCGGGGCUUAACUCCGGGCGUGCAGGCGAUACGGGCAAACUGGAGUGCUGUAGGGGAGACUGGAAUUCCUGGUGUAGCGGUGGAAUGCGCAGAUAUCAGGGGGAACACCGAUGGCGAAGGCAGGUCUCUGGGCAGUUACUGACACUGAGGAGCGAAAGCAUGGGUAGCGAACAGG